Molecule: unclassified non-coding RNA, 449 nt
Filed under: Hevea brasiliensis (rubber tree)
Lineage: Eukaryota; Viridiplantae; Streptophyta; Magnoliopsida; Malpighiales; Euphorbiaceae
Source: RNAcentral
GCCAAACCCUGCAUCAGCCUAACUAUCUCGGUAGUGUCAUCGAGAUAGUAUUUGGCCUUGCUGGGCUUUCGGCCAACAGUACAAGCAAAGACUUCGGCUGCUGGAGCCAUGGACGGUCCAGACACCGAGCUCAUGAUCACCUCAAACAUGUCUUCAUCUGAUCGGUCAUCUCCUAUGCAGAGGACAAAAUCUGGUGACAUUCCUUUCUCUUGCAUUUCGUUAAGGAGGCGCUUGGCAACGAGCCCUUUGCUUACACCCUGGGGCUUAACUUCCACUAUAUUCUGUCCACUCUUGACAGUGACUGGUUCAUUAGCCAGCACACUUUCAAGGUGAUCAAGAAGUUCUUUAGCCUGACAUGAUCCAAAAUCAGGAUCCGCAUCCUCGUAAGACCAUACCAUUGAUGUUUCCUUGUCUUCAAUAACCGAUCCAUCAGUAGUUUCAGUGUAAAG